CGGGCUUCCGGCAGGGCUGAGAGUUGACUUGCCCCAGAUGGGCGAAGUGAGUCACUGGGGAGCCGUGUUCACACUUCCUCCUUCCCCUGGGCUUCGAUCCAGCUCCCUGGAGGGAGGCACAGCCCGGAUUCCUGGGGCAGCCGGCCUCCUCUGUCCAGGCUGGGGUGUCGCGGCCUGCACCCCGACUCGCACACGCCCGCUCUGAGGCCCUGGGAUCACACUUCAAGCAAAAGGAGAGAAGCUCUAGCAGUGACAUUUCAGCUGAGCUAGCUGUUGAGUGGGGUGCGAUGGGGGAGGCAGCCAGUAGCAGUGUCCAGGAGCCCCUGAAGUCAUCCCUCCUGGGAAAGCAGCCCCUGUUGGACACAUAGGCCAAUCCUAGCACACAGGAACACAAAGUGGUACAAAUGAAUUCAGCAGCACAGUUGAAAAAGAAAAACUACGGGAACAAUGGAUUGGCGAUGGUGGAAUUCUCUCGUCCUGCAGGAUUUGACAAAAUGAAACCAGUCCUAGACUACAUACAAAGCAUAUUUAUUCCAAGGACAGAUCAUGAGAUUGUUGUAAUUCAGGAUCUGUUUAUUUGAACAUGGCUCUCUGCACGUUUAAAGUCCACCUGUUUAAUACUGUUCGGGCUUUCUGGCUUAGCAAGCUGGAAAAUGUUUUGAGGCUAACAUAAAGAUGGGAGAGGAGUUUCCUGAAUUUCUGUUCAACUGUUUUUGCGAACCCAUGCCAUUGGUCCUAAGGGAGAGGUGAACAGCACAAAAUACCACCCACUCUAAAGAAAAUACAAACUGAAAAUAUUUUGUGCAAAAAAAAAAAAAAAAACAAAGGAUGUGCUUUUAGCUUAGUAUUUUUUUUUUCUUUUAGCUUAGUAUUAAGUGUAACAGUUAAAGGUGUGAAAUAAGAACAUGCUUUGUAAAUAAAAAAACAAAUUCUAGGAAUUAGAAUUAGGUGGAACACCUACAUCUGUACAAAGUGAAUUGUGCAAUCAUUUUCUAAAUUUCAACUGUCUGGUUCGUAAAGGCAUAACGUGUUGUCUGUGUUAUUAGGAUAAUCUGUCCUAAUUCCCAAUAAAAUGAAUGGCUUCAUAGUGCUUAAUCUUGGCCGUGAAGGCAAAAAAUGUAAUAGCAUUUCAAAAACAAUGAUUUUCGUUAAGAUCUCAAUGUCAAAAAAAAUGUACAAUAUUGUGCUUCAUAUUGAGAUGGGAGCAUGAAAAUUUAAAAUUCCACGCAGUGCUUUUGCUCCUACUGAAACGAAGACAAAAUUUGGGAUCUAACAGCCACUCCUCGGAUGUUUCUUUCAUCUGGAAGCCAUCAAAUCCUGAUCUGUUCCCUUGACAAUCCCAUAUAUUUUUUUUUAAAAACUUUUCAUCCUGUCAUUAUGAGCUUAACUCCCUAUCACUGAAACAAAUAACCAACCCCCUGUAAUUCCUACACAGUAAGGGGUGUCGGGCGUGAAACCCUACUGUGGCUGCAACACCCAAAGACUAGAGCCAGAGAAGGGUUGGCUCGGUUAGGAACUCCUGCUGCCGCGAAGAAAAACAAAACUUAAAACCACCACCACCACCACCACCACCACCAUUCAACAAAAAUACCUUGCACAAAAAAAAAAAAAAAAAAAAAAAA
Canis lupus familiaris (dog) is the source of this 1622-nucleotide long non-coding RNA. RefSeq lists it as uncharacterized. NCBI's taxonomy places the organism in Eukaryota, Metazoa, Chordata, Mammalia, Carnivora, Canidae. The record is from RefSeq and is a predicted model, not a curated record. The transcript has 3 exons.